GAUGAACGCUAGCUACAGGCUUAACACAUGCAAGUCGAGGGACCGGCGCACGGGUGAGUAACACGUAUCCAACCUGCCCUUUACUCGGGGAUAGCCUUUCGAAAGAAAGAUUAAUACCCGAUAUAAAGGAUGGGGAUGCGUUCCAUUAGGUUGUUGGUGAGGUAACGGCUCACCAAGCAUUCGAUGGAUAGGGGUUCGGAGAGGAAGGGCCCCCACAGUGGAACUGAGACACAGUCUAAACUCGUACGCGAAGCAGGAGAUAGGAACAUAGGUCAAUGGGCGCUAGCCUGAACCAGCCAAGUAGCGUGAAGGAGGAAGGCUUAUGGGUCGUAAACUUCUUUGAUAUAAGAAUAGGUAUUAUAUGAAUAAGGAUCGGCUAACUCCGUGCCAGCAGCCGCGGUAAUUC
RNAcentral lists this ribosomal RNA (406 nucleotides) under uncultured bacterium. RNAcentral's name for it is "partial 16S ribosomal RNA". It matches the Rfam family "Bacterial small subunit ribosomal RNA", at positions 28 to 526 of the family's 1533-position model. The record is from RNAcentral.